UGAGGAAUAUUGGUCAAUGGGCGAGAGCCUGAACCAGCCAAGUAGCGUGCAGGAUGACGGCCCUAUGGGUUGUAAACUGCUUUUAUAAGGGAAUAAAGUGAGUCUCGUGAGACUUUUUGCAUGUACCUUAUGAAUAAGGACCGGCUAAUUCCGUGCCAGCAGCCGCGGUAAUACGGAAGGUCCGGGCGUUAUCCGGAUUUAUUGGGUUUAAAGGGAGCGUAGGCCGGAGAUUAAGCGUGUUGUGAAAUGUAGACGCUCAACGUCUGCACUGCAGCGCGAACUGGUUUCCUUGAGUACGCACAAAGUGGGCGGAAUUCGUGGUGUAGCGGUGAAAUGCUUAGAUAUCACGAAGAACUCCGAUUGCGAAGGCAGCUCACUGGAGCGCAACUGACGCUGAAGCUCGAAAGUGCGGGUAUCGAACAGG
This 424-nucleotide ribosomal RNA is filed under the name uncultured bacterium. RNAcentral describes it as "bacterial SSU rRNA". It matches the Rfam family "Bacterial small subunit ribosomal RNA", at positions 355 to 776 of the family's 1533-position model. The record is from RNAcentral. RNAcentral also lists the same sequence under 2 other names.